This 253-nucleotide ribosomal RNA is filed under the name uncultured bacterium. Its description in RNAcentral is "partial 16S ribosomal RNA". It matches the Rfam family "Bacterial small subunit ribosomal RNA", at positions 524 to 776 of the family's 1533-position model. The record is from RNAcentral.
UACGGAGGGUGCAAGCGUUAAUCGGAAUUACUGGGCGUAAAGGGUUCGUAGGUUGUUUAUCAAGUUAUCUGUGAAAUCCCUGGGCUUAACCUGGGAAGGUCAGAUAAAACUGGUGAACUCGAGUAUUGGAGAGGGUAGUGGAAUUUCCGGUGUAGCGGUGAAAUGCGUAGAGAUCGGAAGGAACACCAGUGGCGAAGGCGGCUACCUGGCCAAAUACUGACACUGAGGAACGAAAGCGUGGGGAGCAAACAGG